Molecule: ribosomal RNA, 555 nt
Filed under: Patelloida conulus
Lineage: Eukaryota; Metazoa; Mollusca; Gastropoda; Lottiidae
Description: partial 16S ribosomal RNA
Rfam family: Bacterial large subunit ribosomal RNA
Source: RNAcentral
CGCCUCCCGGCGUUAUGGGAGGUCGCGCCUGCUCAAUGCCCUGUGGGGUGAAUAGCCGCGGUACCCUGACCGUGCUAAGGUAGCGUAAUCAUUAGCCUAUUAAUUGUUGGCCUGUAUGAAUGGCUGGACGCUGGUGAAACUGUCUCUGUUGUGUUUUAUUGAAAUUAACCUUUUGGUGAAAAGGCCAAAAUUUGCUUGAAAGACGAUUAGACCCUGUCGAACUUUAGGCGGACUUUUAACAACUUAACAUAAGUUAAUAGAAAACCUUUGGUUGGGGAAACCGGGGACCAUGAAAAACGUCCGCCCCCCAAGCCGUUUAAGCUUAGGAGAAAGCUGAAAAUGUUGAAUUUAAAAAGCCUUACAAGGCGUCAUUAGCUUAUUUGAUCCAGUAAAUAUUUUUCUGAUCAUGGGAAAAGUUACCGCAGGGAUAACAGCGUAAUCCUCCCAGCGAGACCACAUUAAAGGGAGGGUUUGCGACCUCGAUGUUGGCUUAAGGCACCCAGGAAGUGCAGGAGCUUCCACAGGUUGGUCUGUUCGACCAUUAAAGUCUUACGU